RNAcentral lists this ribosomal RNA (251 nucleotides) under uncultured prokaryote. RNAcentral describes it as "partial 16S ribosomal RNA". It matches the Rfam family "Bacterial small subunit ribosomal RNA", at positions 525 to 775 of the family's 1533-position model. The record is from RNAcentral.
ACGAGGGAUCCUAGCGUUGUUCGGAAUCAUUGGGCGUAAAGCGGGCGCAGGUGGCUUUGUAAGUCAGGUGUGAAAGCCCAGGGCUCAACCCUGGAAGUGCAUUUGAUACUGCAAAGCUUGAGUGCUAGAGAGGUGAGUAGAAUACCUGGUGUAGUGGUGAAAUACGUAGAUAUCGGGUGGAAUACCGGAGGCGAAGGCGGCUCACUGGCUAGACACUGACACUCAUGCCCGAAAGUGUGGGGAUCAAACAG